UUCUCGGUAGUAUAGUGGUUAGUAUGCAGGCUUGUCACGCCUGAGACCCGGGUUCAAUUCCCGGGCCGGGAAG
This 73-nucleotide transfer RNA is filed under the name Thermochaetoides thermophila DSM 1495. RNAcentral's name for it is "tRNA-Asp (GTC) (tRNA-Asp-GTC-5-1)". It matches the Rfam family "tRNA". Rfam says of the family: Transfer RNA (tRNA) molecules are approximately 80 nucleotides in length. Their secondary structure includes four short double-helical elements and three loops (D, anti-codon, and T loops). Lineage: Eukaryota; Fungi; Ascomycota; Sordariomycetes; Sordariales; Chaetomiaceae. The record is from RNAcentral.